GGUAAAAGAAGAAACGGGUCAUAUAAAAUGGAAAAUCUUACUGUGUGUUUCUCUUUUCCCCUCUCCCUCUUCGCGUGCCCUAGCCGCGCGCUCUCUCUCUGCAAUUGCGUUCUCACUCUGCAUCUGCAAUUGCGAUUGAACGCUCUCUCUUCGCGUGCCCUAGCAGCUCUAUAAUUGCGUUGUGUCCGCUGAUGGAUAAUCAGACAUAGGAAUUUAACCAAGGAAAAUUCUAGAAGUGGAUCAGGCCAUCGCGGGUGAUGGUGAGCUCGCCUCUGGUGCCGAGGGUCAGCCUGGGAUUGGAGUUUUUAAGGACAGGGUCGUCCCGGUUGGCAAUCCACACUUCAUUGUGAUUGACAGGAGUGGACGCACCGCGGUUGAACACGAUUGCUAUGUAAAUGUUGUCUGUGGAUUGAUUGAAUUCAGGGGUGUAGAAGCGUAGGGUGAAGAGGUCGUUGGGUGAAUCCAGUUGAAAGGAUGUGUUCAGAGUGUCUCCUUGUUUCAGAGUGUCGAUGUGAGCAGAAAGAGUAACACACAUAAACACUGCAAAAUUGAUCUGGAUGAAGCUUUGGGAGUCUGCAUCAUGGGUGUUUGGAAAUGAUGAGGAUUAGCUAGAAUCUUUGGUUAAAUUCCUAUAUCUGAUUCUAGAACUUGUAGAACGGGCGAGCAGGAUGUUGUUUGAGCUUGAGCUUGAGCCCACAAAUGUGGGGAACUAUGUGCUUCUUGUUGAGAUAUAUGCAGAGGGGAAGAUGUGAAGAGAGUAAAGAAGCUGUUGAGAAGGGGCUGCUGAUUGUACCAGAUGCUGCUGGAUUGAUGGUGUACUCGAUUAGGUCUUUGGACAAGCUGAAUCCUCAAAUCAAGAUCCAUGGUUUGGUUGUGAAGCUGUUGGAGGAGAUGAUGGAGCAGUGGUAUGUGCCGGAGAUAAAAGCGGUGCUGUACGAGCUUGAUACUGAGGAGAAACAACGGGUGCUGUUGGGGCACAGUGAGAAAUUGCAGUAGAGGAGAGACCAUAAGGUUUAGCAAGAAUCUGAUGUUGUGCGAAGAUUGUCACUCAUUCACCAAGUUCAUGUCCCAAGUUUGCAUAUCGAGAGAUUAUGGUUAGGGAUAUUAAUCGGUUCCUCCAUAUAUAUAACUAUUUUGUAUGUUGAUAAUAAAAAUUAUAGUAGUAUUUGCUUUUGUGAUAUAAUUAUUGUAAUGAAAAUUUUGAAUUUUAGAGCG
Molecule: long non-coding RNA, 1215 nt
Organism: Salvia splendens (bonfire salvia)
Lineage: Eukaryota; Viridiplantae; Streptophyta; Magnoliopsida; Lamiales; Lamiaceae
Exons: 2
Source: RefSeq, a predicted model, not a curated record